Long non-coding RNA from Lepidothrix coronata (blue-crowned manakin), 296 nucleotides. RefSeq lists it as uncharacterized. The record is from RefSeq and is a predicted model, not a curated record. NCBI's taxonomy places the organism in Eukaryota, Metazoa, Chordata, Aves, Passeriformes, Pipridae. The transcript is spliced from 3 exons.
GUCUGGGCAAGGCUUCCCCAAACUCAGUCUGACACACCAGAACUCCACAUUCAUUCUGGGUUGGUGAGGGCUGGGAGCCCCUCUCCGUCAGCAGGCUUUCACCUGGACAGGUUACUGAUGAACUGCUGCAUCAACAGCGCUGUCCUAGGACAGCCCAGCAAAGGUCCUAAAACAAGAUAGAAAUGAAAGUGUAUCUUUCCAUUUCCACUUGCCUACGGAGCAAUCUACCGAAUCGUUCAUGAACUGAGGGCAGAAAUUCCAGCAAGGAAGCUGUCCUGUAUCAACAACAAACUCAG